Molecule: unclassified non-coding RNA, 8331 nt
Filed under: Diabrotica virgifera virgifera (western corn rootworm)
Lineage: Eukaryota; Metazoa; Arthropoda; Insecta; Coleoptera; Chrysomelidae
Description: ras-related C3 botulinum toxin substrate 1
Source: RNAcentral
CUCUAAAUAAAAGUGCAAUGGCAGAAAAGUGAUAAGUAUUUUUGUUGUGGAGAAAUAAACCUAUUUUAUAAGAAAAACCAUUUAUGUAAAAAAAAGUAAAGCAACUAUUUUAUAAAGUUCACACUUGUAUUUUUUCACAUACAGAACAAUUUAUAAGGAAAAUACAAUAAAUAUGUCAUCAGGCCGGCCCAUUAAAUGUGUAGUAGUCGGAGAUGGAACCGUUGGAAAAACCUGCAUGCUCAUAUCUUAUACAACAGACAGUUUUCCAGGAGAAUAUGUACCCACUGUGUUUGACAAUUAUUCCGCCCCAAUGGUAGUAGAUGGAAUUUCAGUUAGCUUAGGACUUUGGGACACAGCGGGACAAGAAGACUAUGAUAGAUUACGCCCUUUAUCUUAUCCCCAAACAGAUGUCUUUUUGAUAUGUUUUAGUGUAGCCUCUCCUUCAUCAUUUGAAAAUGUUACCUCUAAGUGGUACCCAGAAAUUAAACAUCACUGUCCAGAUGCACCUAUGAUAUUAGUUGGUACGAAAAUAGAUUUAAGAGACGAUAGGGAAACCCUAAACUCCCUUGCAGAUCAGGGUCUGAGUCCCAUAAAACGAGAACAAGGUCAAAAGUUGGCGAAUAAAGUCAGAGCUGUCAAAUAUAUGGAAUGUUCAGCUUUAACUCAAAGGGGUCUCAAACAAGUCUUCGAUGAAGCUGUAAGAGCAGUGCUACGACCUGAACCACAAAAAAGGCGCCAACGCAAAUGUUUGGUUAUGUAACCUUUGACUUUUAUUCAAUAUUUUGUUCUAAUGUUGCAAAACUAAUUUUUUUGGUUAUUUUAAUACUCAGGCAACAUCUGUUUUAAACACAAAUUAAGUUUUUAGAAGGUUUAAUGAUUCAGUUUCUAAAGAAACCAAUUACAAGUGAUCAAAAGAAUCUCAUUUUUUAGUUACGUCUUCAUUUUUAUAACAUUAAAUGAUACAGUUCUUCCUGCUACCUACUCCUUCGUGGAGAUAAUGAUAUAUUAAUAUAUUGUGUACUUUCCGUAUUCUCUACAGAGAUUAACUUUCAAUAAUGCCGAAUUUUAAGACUUAACAGGGUAAAUUCAUAAUAAACAAAUUCAUUGUCCUUCUGUUUUUCGUCUACAGAAAAAGUGUUGAAUAUAGUUUUUAUUUCGUUUUAAAUUUAGCAGUCUCAAUAAACUAUUAAUUUUAUGUAGAUGUUGCUUGGAAUCUUUAAACAAUUUUUGACUUUCUACACAAAGAUAAUAUUUGCCAAAUAAAGUUGCCAAAUUCUUGGAGUAUAAUGUAACUGAGAAGUCUUUUACUUGAUGGAAAUCCAUUAUAUAAAGUAAGUGAAUUUAAAUCGUAUUUCUGAUUUGAAUUGUCGUUAGUCCUCAGUAGACAUUAUUACACGAAAAAAAAAAUGCAAAGCAAAAAUAUUUAUUAAAGGGCUCCCAAUAUCUAAUACAAUUUGCCUGUGUUUUAUAUUAUUUUAUAAUAUCAACCAGUGGCAUUGCGCGCUAGCUUUCUUUCACUUUAUUUCUGAUAUAUCGCGUUUUCAACUUGAUAUAAAAAAUAUGCACCUAGGUACAUUAUGAACGAAAUUUUGUUUAAAAAAUGAAUUACUAUUAAUUAUCAUUUUAUUAUCAAUGUAUUCUCUUAUUCUUAAAUUUAUAUAAAAAUGUGGUUUUAUUUAACUAAUAUUGAACGUAGUGAUGCUGUAGUGGGAUCUCAUACUAUGAGAGUGAUCUUAAUUUUCAUUGAAGGUUCUGUAUAUCAAGUAAUGAAACGAUAGCUCAGUUAGCGUACAAAACGAAAAAUGUAAUAUUUUCUUUGUGUAGCAUUGUCAAAUUGUAACUAUAAUUUUUGUUCAAUUUAAAAAUCUCCUAUAUUUUCAUGUAGUAAAUCAUUGCUGCAAUUAACAGCCCUGUUGCUUUCAAGAAUCAACUCAACUUAUGACAACUUUUACAAAUUACAAAUAUUUUUAAGUAAUUUUUAUAUCUACAGUAAUCGAUUUCUAUGUUUAAAUCAUAGUUUCCUACAACGAAACCCAAUAGACACUAGAUGGUUAUAAAAGUAUACUACCAGAUUUUUAAAUAAUAACAGUCCAAAUACCAUUAAAUAAGUGUAGAAGUGAAAGAGAGUUUUUGGUAAAGAUUGAAAAUAGGUGGUCGAGGUUCCUGCUGUCGAAUGUAUUGAUGUUUUGACCUCUUUCAGCUUUAAUGCAAUGGCAACAAGAAAGGCUUUAUUGAAAACCGACACAUCAUGUCACAUGUAGGAUCUGCGUGAGACUAAUGGAUAUUGAUGUGUACUGUUUUAUAAUUAAACCCAUGUACAGUCCCUGGCCAUGUUAUUAUGACCACCUAUGAAUUUUUAUAAAAAUCAUACAUUCCACUAAGUACAUGUUGUUUAAAAAUUGUUUUUAAAUUUAAUUUUGUUAUGUAAUGUUAAUGUUAAACAUUAACUAUAAUAUAUUUAACCUUUAACUACCCGCGCAUCAAGUUAUAACAUAACUACACGCGUGGCGUACUUUGUACGCCACAAGAAAAUACACUUAAAAACAGCGGAUUUCUUUAAUUUUUUUUUGAAAAAAUACACUUAGUUGUUUGUUAUAAACCUUAUUCGGCAUCAGUGAAUACUUGGAGUUCCUUUUCAGUAAGCCAAUUGGGAUUUAUAACUGGAAUCAUGGAAUAACUGGAUUCCAUGAUAAAUAAAAUUACUAAUAAAAAUUUUUUUUAAAUGUGAUUUUUUACAGGAGAAAAAGUAUUGUUUACAAAGAAAAAUAUAUUUUUUGCCGUAAUGACUAAAAAACAAUUAAAAUAUGUACUUAUAUUACGACUUAUAGUAAUAUAAUCCUGGGGUAUAUUGUCCACCACCGGAAACAACAAAUAAUAAAAUGUAAAUUACGAUCUUUCCAGAACGCCGAUUAUAACGAAACUAAAACCAAAUUGUAAAGCACAUGCCAGUGAUAGGUUAGAAAAAUAAGCAAGGUCAAAAAUUAAAUUUUUAAAUAUAUUUCCAGUAGAAUUCUUAUAUCUGGCGUACAAAGUACGCCAGCGCGUGUAGUUAAAGGUUAAUAAUAAACAGAAACAAAAUAUUUGAAAAUAUUACAGAUUUAUAUAUAUUUUUUUAAUAUUUUGUUGAAUUCCUGACCUUAAUCACUAGAAAAUAUUUGCGAGUUUUUAAAACAAGAAAUUUCUAGUGAAUAGGUCAAACACAAAAUUGUUUUGAUUCAAGAACUAAUAUAUCAUUUUAACCACAAUGAUAAAUUGAAGCAAAGUUUAUUUAACUGCAUUUAAAGUAUGCCAAGACGGGUACUAGCGAUAAUCAAAGUUAAAGGGGGUUCAACAAAAUAUUAAAAAAAUAUAAAUAUGGUAUAUUUUUAAAUGUUUUAUUGCUAUAUAUUAUAUAUUUAAUAAUAAACAGCAAUAAAACAUUUGAAAAUAUCACAUAUUUAUGUUUUUUUAAUAUUUUUUUGAACUCCCUUUAACUUUGAUUACUGCUAGUAUCCGUCUUGGCAUACUUUGAAUGCAGUUCCAAUGAUAUAUUAGUUCUUCAAUCAAAACAAGUUUUUUGGUGACCUUUUCACUGGAAAUUUCUCGUUUUAAAAGCUCCCAAAUAUUUUCUAUGGGGUUAAGGCCAGGAAUUCAACAAAAUAUUAAAAAAAAUAUAAAUAUGUAAUAUUUUCAAAUAUUUUAUUGCUGUUUAUUAUUAAAUAUAUUGUAGUUAAUGUAUAACAUUAACAUUACAUAACAAAAUUAAAUUUAAAAAUAAUUUUUAAACAAAAUGUACUUAGUGGAAUAGUUGAUUUUUAUAAAAAUUCAUAGGUGGUCAUAAUAGUAUGGCCAGGGACUGUAUAUUAUUUCCUUAAAAUAAAAAUACAGCGUACUUUUCUCUUGAAAGCUUUCUAUGAAGCUGACGGCACAUUCUUUUUUUUUAGAUCAACCGAGACUCAUUAGUCCCUAGCACUUGGUUGUAAGGUUUGGGUACUAUUCUCAGCACAUUUAUCGCUUCUUGUUCUUAGUCUGUUCAGCGUUUUUUGCGGGGCAGAUCAAAUUCUGACGGCUUCUGAUUGAUACAGGCCACUUGGUGUAUUUCCUGUGGGUCGCUUUUUCAUUAUAUUCUCCAGGCGUUGCUGAGGCUGGUAGCCUUUAACAAUGGAAGAUAUCUGGAGCGUAGUCUGUUCAUUUCGACAUCAAGAUUAUCAUGGUGGAUGGGUAGUUGAUGGUUAGUCUGGAUUUUUCUAGAUUCUCUACAGGAGAAUGACUUCUUGUAGUUUCGGUGGUGGGAUGUGACUCAGAAUGUGAAGCUAAUAUGUAGUUCGGUGUUGGUCUAAUUGUACCUGAGAUAAUUCGCAUUGGCUGCUUUAAUUGGGUGUCAACAAUCUUAGUCUGAUUGCUAUUGAGCCAUAUGGGGAAUGCAUAUUCAGCUGCCGAGUAUAUCAGUCCGAGACAGCAGGAUUUGAGUACAGAGGUUGAGGAACCCCAUGUGGUGCCACAUAGCUUUUGGAUGUUGAUUUUGGUUUUUGAUAGGAGUUCUUUAAAACCUAAAGUUCUGUCAAGAGUUACUCUAAGAUAUUUUGGUUCUGAGUUAUGAGUCUCUAGUCUGUUUUCAAAGUGAACUGAAAUUUUUUUAUAUAGGAGUAUCUACGAUAUAGGCGUAUUUUAUUUGUUUAUCGAAUAUUUUAAUAUGGCACACUGUGUCAAAAACGAUUUUUGUUGAAAUUAAAUUUUCUUUUGAAUCUUAUUGACUGCCCUAUAAACUUGCUCAAAUGUACCAUGUUGUAACGAAACCGAUUUAUAUGUGUGCUUUCUGUUAUUAAUAACUUUAACUUAUGGACAAAUAUUUGCUCGGAUGCCUUAGAAAUAUAAUUAAAUCCUUAGAAAACGACACAAGUCUAUUAAAACUUUCGUUCUGUUACAUUAGGAAGGAGCAUAAGUCCAGGAUUUGUGCCAUUUUCAAACAGAUUUCAAUUUUUAUUUGCCUUUUAUGUUGACUUGUGGUAUAUGAAGAUAUUUUACUAUAUUUUCGCAGAAAACAUAAACGCUUCAAGAAUAAAAAUGGUACCAAAAACUGAUAUUUGAAAAAAGUGGGACUUUGUGCUUUUCGAAAUGACGGGUUCAAUUGGCUUAUUGGACGAUAAAUGCUUGGGAUACUUUUAUAACUGCUCUGGGUCUAUACAAAAAACGUAGUUUCACGUAUUGGUUGUGAAACAAAAAAAAAUGAACAAAAAAUCAAGUUAUAUUUUCUAAAAUACUCAAAAACGAAUCUCUCCGUGAUACUGUUUGGCUUUCUUUUAUUUAUCAGUAUUGUUUGCAAGGUAGCUAUUUCACUUUUUUAUAUGAAAAAAAUAGAAACUAGUAAAUAAUAAAGAAUGUACUGAAUUUACACCAAUGAAGAUAAAAUGUUAUGUGUACGAUUUUAUUUAUUGAUUUAAUGUUUUUUUAUUUUAAUAUUUUAUUAUAUUUUAUAUUAGCUGUAAUAAUUUAAACUACUAUAAGUGCAUUUUGUGAGUCGUAAGGCUGAUUUUUAAAUACAGUAUGAAAAUGUUAUGAAUUUUAUUAAAGCAUUUCAAAGAUCAUGAAUAUUUUAAGAAUAGUAGUUUAAAUUUACGAUAUACAUUUAGUUGCACAAAGAAUUUUUUAAAUCAACAUAGAAUGAUUCAGUUUACUGCAAUUUGAUUGUAUGUUUAUACGUUGUCCAAUCUUGAUAUCAAAAAUUAUAAUGAAUGUUUGAUAUCAAUAAUAUUUUCCCUGUUUUUUCACAUUGUAUUGUUACUUUCUUUAGUAUCCUCGGUAUAUGUUGGUCCAGUUUUACAAAUUCUACUUUUCAAGUAUUCCCAAUAAAAAGAAUCUUUAGAAUUGAAAUCGGAUAAACCAGGAUCCCAUUCAUUACGAUUCCAUCAUCCGGGAAAUGUCUGAUCUAAAUAACGCCGAACAUUUGCACCAAAAUGAGUUGGUGCUGUGUCUUGCUGAAACCACAUCUUAUUAAAAUUGGCUUCAAACUUGAUUUUCAGGGCAGGUACAAUUUCAUUUCUAAGUAGUAUUUUAUAAUUAUCGUUUGUUAAAUUUCCUUCCAUAAAAAACGGCUUAAUUAACUGAGUACCUACUAUACCCGGUCAUACAUUUAGUUUUCUGAUCUUUGAGCAUGGUUUUCACGUAUCCAUUGUGGAUUUACAUCACUACAAUACCUUAAAUUUUGGCAAUUUACAUUCCCACUUCUUUUGCCCUUUAAUUCAUCCAAUUUUGAACAUAGGCUUCCCCCAGUUUCCUCCAUUCGCUUCUGUUUAGUGCUUUCUGUUUCCAGUGCGUUCCUCCUAUCUUUUUAAUGUCGUCUCCCCAUCUCAUCUGGGGUCGUCCUCUUGUUCUCUUUCCUGUCCGUGGUCUCCAUUGUUGUAUCGUGGUAUUCCACCUAUUGUCCAUUUGUCUGGCGUUAUGACCUGUGAAGCUCCAUCUUAGCCUGGCUAUAUGUUGUCCUGCGUCUUUGACUUUCUUACCCAGUUUUGUUUCUUACCCAGUUGUUUUGCUUUUUGUUGUCGGUUAAUUUUACUCCUAACAUUGCUCUCUCCAUGGCUCUUUGUGUCUUUAUUAUUUUAUCCAUGUAUGUUUUGGUCAAUGUCCAUGUUAUGUUUGGCAUGCGUAUGUGAGAAUUGGGUGUAUGCACUGGUCAAACACUCUUGUUUGUAAGUAUUUCCACACAUUGUAAAUAUUGCUUUGAAGGAAAAACCUAACUUGUUAAAGAAGUUCUCGUCAGUUACAACUCUAUUCAUCAUUACCUCACUAAACUGUAAUCUACGGUAGUAGUCAUCUUCACUUAAUUCUUGCAACAACUGGGUUUUGUAGUGUUUAAAUUAAUUCUUGUAUAAUGCAAGACAGAAUAAUGACCUACAUCAGGUAUGUGUGCAGCUCUGCGUGAGGAUGUAAUGCAAAACUAUGCAUUAAAUCUAAAGUUGUAUUGUAAUUUAUACAGUUAUUGGUCUACUUGUUCAAAUGUCAUCUUUUACUCGUCCAGUUUCCCCAAGAGAGCUUUACAAUUUUUUAUAACGUCGCCUUAUGGAUAGGAGGAAUGGUUUGGAAAAGUAUAGUUGAACAAGGUGGCUACUUCACUAUAUCUUUUUCUGUCGCCAUAGCUCCUAGUCAUUAAAACAGUAACUCGCUAUGUUUCAUAAAAAAAACAUCUUUAGUGUAGAGCUUUUAAAAACACAUCAACUUUAGUUAUUAAUAUCAUUUAUGACGAACAAUAAAAGAGCAGAAAACAUCUAUGGCAUACGUGUAAACUAACUGAACGAAUAAAGCAAAAUGCUAAAAUGGACGUCCCAUAUUUUUUGUGCAAUUUUAUGUAAGUUUGUUAAGUUACUCUAACCAAGAAACUACUCGUUUCAUCACAAAACGAAAAAUUAUAUAUUCAUGUUUAGUUUAUAAGCCAUAACGAUUUUUAGUAUUUUCAUUAUAUCGCACCCUCAGUGCAAGACUGCAGUAACUCAAAAUUUUAUGAAAAUGAAGUAAUCAUGGAAUUCGAUUGUAAACAUGCAUAUCUAUCCCCUGUAAAACUUUAGUAACUUUCAAAUGCUUAAUGGGCUAAAUAUUACAACAACAACAGUUUAACUAUUUUGCGUUUUUGAACAUAAGUUCCGUGCAAAACUGUUGUAACUCUAAUGUAACAGAGUUAUAACAGUUUUGCACGGAACAUUGCAACGGAUUCGAUAACAAGCAAUGAAAAAAGUAAGAUAUUUGUUAUUUUAAUAUCUAUAUCUGUGGUGUUUAAUUUUAAUAUACAGAGCGUCUACGUAAUCCAUUAACGGGUGAGACAAUAAACAAAGAUUUUCGAGACCAAUCUAUUCAUGUAAAUUUUAUGUCCUUUGUGUAAUACAGUAAAACCUGUCAAUAACGGUCACUAAAAAUGACAGAACUAUUGGCCGAUAUAAAAAAGUGGCCGCUAAUACCAGGUUUUGUAGUCCAAAAAUUUUGGUUUGGGGAACUUUGAAGCUGGCCGGCUAGUUCAGGUGGCCGUUAACACAGGUUUUACUGUACAUAAUUGGUUUGGGUAAUUUAUAAACUGGCCGUUAGUACAGGUGACCGUUGUUGGCAGGUGGCCGGUAACACAGGUUUUACUGUAAAAGUAAAUGUGUCUACGCUUUUUACAAUUUUCUCCGUGCAAAACUGUUGUAACUUUGAAAUUCUAAUACUAAAUGUGUAGUGAUUAACAAUUUUUUCCAUGCAAAAGUGUUGUAACUUUGAAAUUCCUAAUUUUUUUGCGUUAAUAUUAUUUUAUUUAAAUUUCUAUUUUUGGUUAAUGUAAUAUAGGCUGAAAAGCAUGCAAAAUCAUAAUUAAAUGUUAAUUUUUCUUAA